Molecule: ribosomal RNA, 478 nt
Filed under: uncultured bacterium
Lineage: Bacteria
Description: partial 16S ribosomal RNA
Rfam family: Bacterial small subunit ribosomal RNA
Source: RNAcentral
GAUGAACGCUGGCGGCGUGCUUAACACAUGCAAGUCGAACGAGAAGUGAAGACGGAAACCUUCGGGCGGAAGGCUUUAUUUCGAGUGGCGGACGGGUGAGUAACGCGUGGGUAACCUGCCUCAUACAGGGGGAUAACAGUUGGAAACGACUGUUAAUACCGCAUAAGACAACAGCACCGCAUGGUGCGGGGGUAAAAACUCCGGUGGUAUGAGAUGGACCCGCGUUCGAUUAGCCAGUUGGCGGGGUAACGGCCCACCAAAGCGACGAUCGAUAGCCGAUCUGAGAGGAUGACCGGCCACAUUGGGACUGAGACACGGCCCAAACUCCUACGGGAGGCAGCAGUGGGGAAUAUUGCACAAUGGGGGAAACCCUGAUGCAGCGACGCCGCGUGAGUGAAGAAGUAUUUCGGUAUGUAAAGCUCUAUCAGCAGGGAAGAAAAUGACGGUACCUGAGUAAGAAGCCCCGGCUAACUACGUG